This 497-nucleotide ribosomal RNA is filed under the name uncultured bacterium. Its description in RNAcentral is "partial 16S ribosomal RNA". It matches the Rfam family "Bacterial small subunit ribosomal RNA", at positions 28 to 507 of the family's 1533-position model. The record is from RNAcentral.
GAUGAACGCUGGCGGCGUGCCUAAUACAUGCAAGUCGAGCGAACAGACGAGGAGCUUGCUCCUCUGACGUUAGCGGCGGACGGGUGAGUAACACGUGGAUAACCUACCUAUAAGACUGGGAUAACUUCGGGAAACCGGAGCUAAUACCGGAUAAUAUAUUGAACCGCAUGGUUCAAUAGUGAAAGACGGUUUUGCUGUCACUUAUAGAUGGAUCCGCGCCGCAUUAGCUAGUUGGUAAGGUAACGGCUUACCAAGGCAACGAUGCGUAGCGGACCUGAGAGGGUGGUCGGCCACAUUGGAACUGAGACACGGUCCAGACUCCUACGGGAGGCAGACGUAGGGAAUCUUACGCAAUGGGCGAAAGCCUGACGGAGCAACGCCGCGUGAGUGAUGAAGGUCUUCGGAUCGUAAAACUCUGUUAUUAGGGAAGUACAAAUGUGUAAGUAACUAUGCACGUCUUGACGGUACCUAAUCAGAAAGCCACGGCUAACUACGUG